Molecule: long non-coding RNA, 1131 nt
Organism: Callorhinus ursinus (northern fur seal)
Lineage: Eukaryota; Metazoa; Chordata; Mammalia; Carnivora; Otariidae
Source: RefSeq, a predicted model, not a curated record
CUUCCCCAGUGCUCCACCUUCCCCAGAGCACGGACCACGGAGGGAAGGAGAAGACUGCCCUGGAGGUCCUACACCUGUGGAAGGCCGUUGGGAAAGAAUCACGGGGUGUGCGGGGGUUCAGACACCGACACCGGGGUAGGCACGCCGUGAAUGCAGCCUGUGACCUGGACCGAAUCUCCCCAUUGUUGUCACCUACCAGGCAAUCGCGCAUAUCUGGGGCCAGUUUCUCACCCCGGGCAGUGGUGCCCAUGACUCUGCUGUGGGCCAUCCAACGUGCAGGAUGUUUAGCGGCAUCCCUGGCCUCCACCCACCAGGUGGCCAUAACACCUCCGAGUUGUGACAAGGACAGAUGUCCCCACACAUUACCAGAUAUCUCUGGGGAGGGGGAGGGAAGGGCAAAAUGACCCAGGAUGAGAACCACUAAGUGCCACAAAUGCCAAGGAAAUAAGGGAGCUAUGGCCAUGUUGCAUGGUACAAAGCACCGAACCGAAUGGCGCGGAGGUGGAAUGACUUUUGGCUUUGUUCCCAGAUGGGCUCCCCUAUCCCCGCCCUCAGCGGGCCUCCAAAAGGAGCCUAAGGGAGACCUUUGCUCAAGCAGAGACUGCUGAUCUGGGCAAGCUCAGCGAUAAAGCCCCCAAGGAGGGAGAUGCCCGCGGUCUUAGAUGUCUCCAGACCUCUGCUCUGCAUCCAUCUCCCCAGCUCCUCCUGAACCCCUGUCUAGCUCCCCCCACUGAGACUGAGAGAUCCUGAAGUCAAGUCUCUAAAUGUCAUGCAGAAAACUUAGAGCGUUGGGAGAAUUUUCUUAAAAGUCCCCAGGCUGCCUCAGGUUUCAGUGAUUUAUCCUUGGAGUAAGUAUAAAGCGUUGUUAACAAGCCCAAGAAUUAAUUCUGGAGCCGUUUAGGAGAUUCGGGGUGAUGAGGGAGUAUCUCUGCAGUCCGUGUGAAGCAACUGUGUUCUUUUGGAAUCAACCCAGUCCUAACAGGAGCUACUGACUGAUACGAUAUGAAUAUCCCAUUUGCCUCCGAGAGUCUAUGAUGUCUUGACUCGAGAAGACUCUGCCAAGUAGCAGGCAUGCCUUCCCUCUUUCCCCCACCCCAGCCCAGCGUUCUCCAGCUGGAAACGGGGAGACGU